AGGGUUUGAUCCUGGCUCAGAUUGAACGCUGGCGGCAGGCCUAACACAUGCAAGUCGAACGGUAACAGAACUAGCUUGCUAGUUGCUGACGAGUGGCGGACGGGUGAGUAAUACUUAGGGAUCUGCCUCUGUGUGGGGGAUAACUAUUGGAAACGAUAGCUAAUACCGCAUAACGUCUACGGACCAAAGAGGGCUUCGGCUCUCGCGCAGAGAGGAACCUAAGCGAGAUUAGCUUGUUGGUGAGGUAAAGGCUCACCAAGGCGACGAUCUCUAGCUGUUCUGAGAGGAAGAUCAGCCACACUGGAACUGAGACACGGUCCAGACUCCUACGGGAGGCAGCAGUGGGGAAUAUUGCACAAUGGGGGCAACCCUGAUGCAGCCAUGCCGCGUGUGUGAAGGAGGCCUUCGGGUUGUAAAGCACUUUCAGUUGUGAGGAAAGGUUAGUAGUUAAUACCUGCUAGCUGUGACGUUAACAACAGAAGAAGCACCGGCUAACUCCGUGCCAGCAGCCGCGGUAAUACGGAGGGUGCGAGCGUUAAUCGGAAUUACUGGGCGUAAAGCGCACGCAGGCGGUCUGUUAAGCUAGAUGUGAAAGCCCCGCGCUCAACGUGGGAGGGUCAUUUAGAACUGGCAGACUAGAGUCUUGGAGAGGGGAGUGGAAUUCCAGGUGUAGCGGUGAAAUGCGUAGAGAUCUGGAGGAACAUCAAUGGCGAAGGCAACUCCCUGGCCAAAGACUGACGCUCAUGUGCGAAAGUGUGGGUAGCGAACAGGAUUAGAUACCCUGGUGGUCCACACCGUAAACGCUGUCUACUAGCUGUUUGUGGAUUUAAUCCGUGAGUAGCGAAGCUAACGCGAUAAGUAGACCGCCUGGGGAGUACGGCCGCAAGGUUAAAACUCAAAUGAAUUGACGGGGGCCCGCAC
RNAcentral lists this ribosomal RNA (921 nucleotides) under uncultured Gammaproteobacteria bacterium. RNAcentral describes it as "bacterial SSU rRNA". It matches the Rfam family "Bacterial small subunit ribosomal RNA", at positions 8 to 926 of the family's 1533-position model. The record is from RNAcentral. Lineage: Bacteria; Pseudomonadati; Pseudomonadota; Gammaproteobacteria.